AGCGAACGCUGGCGGCAGGCUUAACACAUGCAAGUCGAGCGGGCAUCCUUGUGGUGUCAGCGGCAGACGGGUGAGUAACGCGUGGGAACGUGCCCUUCGGUUCGGAAUAACUCAGGGAAACUUGAGCUAAUACCGGAUACGUGCGAGAGCAGAAAGGUUUAUCUGCCGAAGGAUCGGCCCGCGUCUGAUUAGCUAGUUGGUGAGGUUACGGCUCACCAAGGCGACGAUCAGUAGCUGGUCUGAGAGGAUGAUCAGCCACACUGGGACUGAGACACGGCCCAGACUCCUACGGGAGGCAGCAGUGGGGAAUAUUGGACAAUGGGGGCAACCCUGAUCCAGCCAUGCCGCGUGAGUGAUGACGGCCUUAGGGUUGUAAAGCUCUUUUCUCCGGGACGAUAAUGACGGUACCGGAGGAACAAGCCCCGGCUAACUUCGUG
Molecule: ribosomal RNA, 437 nt
Filed under: uncultured bacterium
Lineage: Bacteria
Description: partial 16S ribosomal RNA
Rfam family: Bacterial small subunit ribosomal RNA
Source: RNAcentral